GGGCGUAAGAGCUCGUAGGUGGUUUGUCGCGUUGUCCGUGAAAUCCCACAGCUUAACUGUGGGCCUGCGGGCGAUACGGGCAGACUGGAGUACUGCAGGGGAGACUGGAAUUCCUGGUGUAGCGGUGGAAUGCGCAGAUAUCAGGAGGAACACCGGUGGCGAAGGCGGGUCUCUGGGCAGUAACUGACGCUGAGGAGCGAAAGCGUGGGGAGCGAACAGGAUUAGAUACCCUGGUAGUCCACGCCGUAAACGGUGGGUACUAGGUGUGGGUUUCCUUCCUUGGGAUCCGUGCCGUAACUAACGCAUUAAGUACCCCGCCUGGGGAGUACGGCCGCAAGGCUAAAACUCAAAGAAAUUGACGGGGGCCCGCACAAGCGGCGGAGCAUGUGGAUUAAUUCGAUGCAACGCGAAGAACCUUACCUGGGUUUGACAUGCACAGGACGCCGGCAGAGAUGUCGGUUCCCUUGUGGCCUGUGUGCAGGUGGUGCAUGGCUGUCGUCAGCUCGUGUCGUGAGAUGUUGGGUUAAGUCCCGCAACGAGCGCAACCCUUGUCUCAUGUUGCCAGCACGUUAUGGUGGGGACUCGUGAGAGACUGCCGGGGUCAACUCGGAGGAAGGUAAU
This 621-nucleotide ribosomal RNA is filed under the name uncultured Actinomycetes bacterium. RNAcentral's name for it is "bacterial SSU rRNA". It matches the Rfam family "Bacterial small subunit ribosomal RNA", at positions 556 to 1177 of the family's 1533-position model. Lineage: Bacteria; Bacillati; Actinomycetota; Actinomycetes. The record is from RNAcentral.